GACGAACGCUGGCGGCGUGCUUAACACAUGCAAGUCGAACGGUAAGGCCCUUUCGGGGGUACACGAGUGGCGAACGGGUGAGUAACACGUGGGUGAUCUGCCCUGCACUUUGGGAUAAGCCUGGGAAACUGGGUCUAAUACCGGAUAGGACUACGCGAUGCAUGUCGUGUGGUGGAAAGCUUUUGCGGUGUGGGAUGGGCCCGCGGCCUAUCAGCUUGUUGGUGGGGUGAUGGCCUACCAAGGCGACGACGGGUAGCCGGCCUAAGAGGGUGUCCGGCCACACUGGGACUGAGAUACGGCCCAGACUCCUACGGGAGGCAGCAGUGGGGAAUAUUGCACAAUGGGCGCAAGCCUGAUGCAGCGACGCCGCGUGGGGGAUGACGGCCUUCGGGUUGUAAACCCCUUUCAGCACAGACGAAGCGUAAGUGACGGUAUGUGCAGAAGAAGCACCGGCCAACUACGUG
This 464-nucleotide ribosomal RNA is filed under the name uncultured bacterium. RNAcentral describes it as "partial 16S ribosomal RNA". It matches the Rfam family "Bacterial small subunit ribosomal RNA", at positions 28 to 507 of the family's 1533-position model. The record is from RNAcentral.